CCUACGGGUGGCUGCAGUGGGGAAUUUUGGACAAUGGGCGAAAGCCUGAUCCAGCCAUGCCGCGUGAGUGAAGAAGGCCUUCGGGUUGUAAAGCUCUUUCGGCCGGAACGAAAUCGCUCGAGCUAACACCUCGAUUGGAUGACGGUACCGGAACAAGAAGCACCGGCUAACUACGUGCCAGCAGCCGCGGUAAUACGUAGGGUGCAGGCUGUAAUCGGAGUUACUGGGCGUAAAGCGUGAGCUGGCGGGUGAAAUCCCCGAGCUUAACUUGGGAACUGCGUUUGAAACUGGGGAGCUAGAGUGCGGCAGAGGGGGGUGGAAUUCCACGUGUAGCAGUGAAAUGCGUAGAUAUGUGGAGGAACACCGAUGGCGAAGGCAGCCCCCUGGGCCUGCACUGACGCUCAUGCACGAAAGCGUGGGUAGCAAACAGGAUUAGAUACCCUUGUAGUC
RNAcentral lists this ribosomal RNA (450 nucleotides) under uncultured bacterium. RNAcentral describes it as "partial 16S ribosomal RNA". It matches the Rfam family "Bacterial small subunit ribosomal RNA", at positions 338 to 795 of the family's 1533-position model. The record is from RNAcentral.